RNAcentral lists this ribosomal RNA (459 nucleotides) under uncultured bacterium. RNAcentral describes it as "bacterial SSU rRNA". It matches the Rfam family "Bacterial small subunit ribosomal RNA", at positions 335 to 795 of the family's 1533-position model. The record is from RNAcentral.
ACUCCUACGGGAGGCAGCAGUGGGGAAUCUUGCGCAAUGGCCGAAAGGCUGACGCAGCGACGCCGCGUGGAGGAUGACGCCCUUCGGGGUGUAAACUCCUGUUGCCCGGGACGAAUACCCGUUUCGACGGGGGUGACGGUACCGGGUGAGGAAGCACCGGCUAACUCUGUGCCAGCAGCCGCGGUAAUACAGAGGGUGCGAGCGUUGUCCGGAAUCACUGGGCGUAAAGGGCGCGUAGGCGGCUGGGUAAGCGUGUGGUGAAAGCCCGGGGCUCAACCCCGGGUCGGCCAUGCGAACUGUCCAGCUGGAGCACGGUAGAGGCACAUGGAAUUCCGGGUGUAGCGGUGGAAUGCGUAGAGAUCCGGAAGAACACCGGUGGCGAAGGCGGUGUGCUGGGCCGUGGCUGACGCUGAGGCGCGACAGCGUGGGGAGCAAACAGGAUUAGAUACCCUGGUAGUC